GUGGGGAAUAUUGGACAAUGGGCGAAAGCCUGAUCCAGCCAUGCCGCGUGUGUGAAGAAGGUCUUCGGAUUGUAAAGCACUUUAAGUUGGGAGGAAGGGCAGUAAGUUAAUACCUUGCUGUUUUGACGUUACCGACAGAAUAAGCACCGGCUAACUUCGUGCCAGCAGCCGCGGUAAUACGAAGGGUGCAAGCGUUAAUUGGAAUUACUGGGCGUAAAGCGCGCGUAGGUGGUUUUGUAAGUUGGAGGUGAAAUCCCCGGGCUCAACCUGGGAACUGCCUCCAAAACUGCAUGACUAGAGUACGGUAGAGGGUAGUGGAAUUUCCUGUGUAGCGGUGAAAUGCGUAGAUAUAGGAAGGAACACCAGUGGCGAAGGCGACUACCUGGACUGAUACUGACACUGAGGUGCGAAAGCGUGGGGAGCAAACAGGAUUAGAAACCCUGGUAGUCC
RNAcentral lists this ribosomal RNA (450 nucleotides) under uncultured bacterium. Its description in RNAcentral is "bacterial SSU rRNA". It matches the Rfam family "Bacterial small subunit ribosomal RNA", at positions 354 to 796 of the family's 1533-position model. The record is from RNAcentral.